RNAcentral lists this unclassified non-coding RNA (337 nucleotides) under Hevea brasiliensis (rubber tree). Lineage: Eukaryota; Viridiplantae; Streptophyta; Magnoliopsida; Malpighiales; Euphorbiaceae. The record is from RNAcentral.
CAAGAAAAGAAGGAAAUACUUGUAGUUCAAUGCCCCAACACAAUUGACAACCCAAACACAAUGAUGGUCCAUUUUCAAUAUACAUCUUCCACAAACAGAACAAUGAUGACAUCGAGGUGGUUUAAAUUGGUUGCACUUUCGACAGAAUCGCAUUCUUUGGUUAGCUGGCUCACCAAGUACAGAUUACUGGUUUAAACCUAAAUUUGCACCGCCGUGCUCUAACCCUAUCAAUGGAUCUGCAUCACCUCUCUCCUCAUCAAUUGAUGGCCUCCAACUUGUUGGGACACCACCUGGAUCCGUUAGAACAGUAGCAAAGUAGCUCCAUAAUAGCAUCACC